This 73-nucleotide transfer RNA is filed under the name Dreissena polymorpha. Its description in RNAcentral is "tRNA-Sec". The record is from RNAcentral. Lineage: Eukaryota; Metazoa; Mollusca; Bivalvia; Myida; Dreissenidae.
AUAAUGAUGGCCUAGUGGUUCAAGCGUAAGACUUCAGCUCUAACGGUCAGUGGUUCGAGCCCAAGUGAUGAUU